GUUAGAGGGUUUCCGCCCUUUAGUGCUGAAGUUAACGCAUUAAGCACUCCGCCUGGGGAGUACGGCCGCAAGGCUGAAACUCAAAGGAAUUGACGGGGGCCCGCACAAGCGGUGGAGCAUGUGGUUUAAUUCGAAGCAACGCGAAGAACCUUACCAGGUCUUGACAUCCUCUGACAACCCUAGAGAUAGGGCUUCUCCUUCGGGAGCAGAGUGACAGGUGGUGCAUGGUUGUCGUCAGCUCGUGUCGUGAGA
This 252-nucleotide ribosomal RNA is filed under the name Staphylococcus epidermidis CIM37. RNAcentral's name for it is "partial 16S ribosomal RNA". It matches the Rfam family "Bacterial small subunit ribosomal RNA", at positions 822 to 1072 of the family's 1533-position model. Lineage: Bacteria; Bacillati; Bacillota; Bacilli; Caryophanales; Staphylococcaceae. The record is from RNAcentral.